Molecule: transfer RNA, 69 nt
Filed under: Bos taurus (domestic cattle)
Lineage: Eukaryota; Metazoa; Chordata; Mammalia; Artiodactyla; Bovidae
Also listed under: 4 other names
Rfam family: tRNA
About the family: Transfer RNA (tRNA) molecules are approximately 80 nucleotides in length. Their secondary structure includes four short double-helical elements and three loops (D, anti-codon, and T loops).
Source: Rfam by way of RNAcentral
CCUGGUCCCUCAGAAGGUAAAGAAUCUGCCUGCAAUGCAGGCGACCUGGGUUCAAUCCCAGGGUCGGGA